ACACUCGGCAGCUCUUCCAGAAUGGGCAAUGAAAGUGACAGUUUGAUCAUCUUUUCAUACAGAUGCUUAAUUCUCCAAGUUAAUUCCAUUCCUCAAUAGUACCACGAUAUCAUGCUGGAACCGCCAAACUUUUCUCUAUGCCCGUGAAGCCGUCUUGCAUUGUUGUUGAGGGACCCUUGCCAGCACUCUUUUCUAUUUUUCUCCUGCUGCGCCACAAAAGCCGAAUUGGAGUGCCUGCAAACCCUGCACUUGUCCUCAGUUGCUUUUCCAUGUAACGACGGUAUGUCUCAGGAAAGAGUUUUGCAUCAUUAACAAAGAAGACAAAUGUAGGCGGUCG
RNAcentral lists this unclassified non-coding RNA (337 nucleotides) under Hevea brasiliensis (rubber tree). Lineage: Eukaryota; Viridiplantae; Streptophyta; Magnoliopsida; Malpighiales; Euphorbiaceae. The record is from RNAcentral.